CCUACGGGUGGCAGCAGUGAGGAAUAUUGGUCAAUGGGCGCGAGCCUGAACCAGCCAAGUAGCGUGAAGGAUGACUGCCCUACGGGUUGUAAACUUCUUUUAUAAAGGAAUAAAGUGAGGCACGUGUGCCUUUUUGUAUGUACUUUAUGAAUAAGCAUCGGCUAACUCCGUGCCAGCAGCCGCGGUAAUACGGAGGAUCCGAGCGUUAUCCGGAUUUAUUGGGUUUAAAGGGAGCGUAGAUGGGUUGUUAAGUCAGUGGUGAAAUUUUGGGGCUCAACCGGCAAAGUGCAAUUGAUACUGGCAGUCUUGAGUACAGUUGAGGUAGGCGGAAUUCGUGGUGUAGCGGUGAAAUGCUUAGAUAUCGCGAAGAACUCCGAUUGCGAAGGCAGCUUACUAAACUGCCACUGACAUUGAUGCACGAAAGUGUGGGUAUCAAACAGGAUUAGAUACCCCUGUAGUC
Molecule: ribosomal RNA, 460 nt
Filed under: uncultured bacterium
Lineage: Bacteria
Description: partial 16S ribosomal RNA
Rfam family: Bacterial small subunit ribosomal RNA
Source: RNAcentral